Molecule: ribosomal RNA, 492 nt
Filed under: uncultured bacterium
Lineage: Bacteria
Description: partial 16S ribosomal RNA
Rfam family: Bacterial small subunit ribosomal RNA
Source: RNAcentral
AUUGAACGCUGGCGGCAUGCUUUACACAUGCAAGUCGAACGGUAACAGGCCUUCGGGUGCUGACGAGUGGCGAACGGGUGAGUAAUGCAUCGGAACGUACCCAGAGGUGGGGGAUAACGCAGCGAAAGCUGUGCUAAUACCGCAUGUGAUCUGAGGAUGAAAGCGGGGGACCGAGCAGCAAUGUUUGGCCUCGCGCCUUUGGAGCGGCCGAUGUCGGAUUAGCUAGUUGGUGGGGUAAAGGCCUACCAAGGCGACGAUCCGUAGCUGGUCUGAGAGGACGACCCGCCACACUGGGACUGAGCCACGGCCCAGACUCCUACGGGAGGCAGCAGUGGGGAAUUUUGGACAAUGGGCGCAAGCCUGAUCCAGCAAUGCCGCGUGCGGGAAGAAGGCCUUCGGGUUGUAAACCGCUUUUGGCAGGAACGAAACGGUGUCCGCUAAUACCGGGCGCUAAUGACGGUACCUGCAGAAUAAGCACCGGCUAACUACGUG